This 496-nucleotide ribosomal RNA is filed under the name uncultured bacterium. RNAcentral's name for it is "partial 16S ribosomal RNA". It matches the Rfam family "Bacterial small subunit ribosomal RNA", at positions 29 to 507 of the family's 1533-position model. The record is from RNAcentral.
AUGAACGCUGGCGGCGUGCCUAAUACCUGCAAGUCGAGCGAACAGAUAAGGAGCUUGCUCCUUUGACGUUAGCGGCGGACGGGUGAGUAACACGUGGGUAACCUACCUAUAAGACUGGGAUAACUUCGGGAAACCGGAGCUAAUACCGGAUAACAUUUGGAACCGCAUGGUUCUAAAGUGAAAGAUGGUUUUGCUAUCACUUAUAGAUGGACCCGCGCCGUAUUAGCUAGUUGGUAAGGUAACGGCUUACCAAGGCGACGAUACGUAGCCGACCUGAGAGGGUGAUCGGCCACACUGGAACUGAGACCCGGUCCAGACUCCUACGGGAGGCAGCAGUAGGGAAUCUUCCGCAAUGGGCGAAAGCCUGACGGAGCAACGCCGCGUGAGUGAUGAAGGGUUUCGGCUCGUAAAACUCUGUUAUUAGGGAAGAACAAAUGUGUAAGUAACUGUGCACGUCUUGACGGUACCUAAUCAGAAAGCCACGGCUAACUACGUG